UACAGAGGUCCCGAGCGUUGUUCGGAUUCACUGGGCGUAAAGGGUGCGUAGGUGGUGAGGUAAGUCGGAUGUGAAAUCUCCGAGCUCAACUCGGAAACUGCAUUGGAAACUACCUUGCUAGAGGGUUGGAGGGGGGACUGGAAUGCUUGGUGUAGCAGUGAAAUGCGUAGAUAUCAAGCGGAACACCAGUGGCGAAGGCGAGUCCCUGGACAACUCCUGACACUGAGGCACGAAAGCUAGGGGAGCAAACAGG
Molecule: ribosomal RNA, 253 nt
Filed under: uncultured bacterium
Lineage: Bacteria
Description: partial 16S ribosomal RNA
Rfam family: Bacterial small subunit ribosomal RNA
Source: RNAcentral